This is a long non-coding RNA of Bombus terrestris (buff-tailed bumblebee), 493 nucleotides long. RefSeq lists it as uncharacterized. The record is from RefSeq and is a predicted model, not a curated record. The transcript has 2 exons. Lineage: Eukaryota; Metazoa; Arthropoda; Insecta; Hymenoptera; Apidae.
UCAGUUAAAUCAGUAAUAGAAGUUCAUUUGGUAAACAAGUUCAGAUAGUUCAGCCAAGUAUAACUGACUACCGAAAAUUCUCCUUGUGUGAUCGACAGGGUAUAAUAACAAGUAGGCAAUUGCCCGCUCGUCUUUGGGCAAGAUUUGUGAGGCGACGUUGGUUCCAACAGAGAACACUGGAAAAUUAAUUUUCCAUUGACGUUAGAUGCCAAGAGCGAAGAGGAAUAUAAGAGGGAAAGGACAUAAAAAUGGGGGACAUAAGGUUCUCGCAUUCUAGUUCACCCAUUCCUGAACGCGAGGGUGCCCUUCGCACAGAAGAGCUACACCCGCUGUCGUCAAGGGCCGUUUCGCUCGUUAACUACGAUAGUUAUACAUAUUCUACUAAGUUUGUUGUGGAGGGAUCGGAGAUAAAUAAAACGGAAUAAUAAAUGUGUGACAAAAUAAGUUAAUAAAUAUAGCAACUUGAUGAAAUUAAAUAAACUGAUAAAUUAAA